Molecule: long non-coding RNA, 241 nt
Organism: Homarus americanus (American lobster)
Lineage: Eukaryota; Metazoa; Arthropoda; Malacostraca; Decapoda; Nephropidae
Exons: 2
Source: RefSeq, a predicted model, not a curated record
GGUGUACACAUGGCCCGAGGUGUACACAGACUUGGUGUACACAUGGCCCGAGGUGUACACAGACUUGGUGUACACAUGGCCCGAGGUGUACACUGUGGUACAAGUAAAGGUUGGCUACUGACUACAUCUUUCCACAGAGAUUAUUACCUAAGUACAACCUCUUGAGUCAACAACUUGGUGACUGAGGUCUGGACAUGCCACACUGGAUUAAAAAAAUAAUAAUAAAAAAUAAAAAAAAGCC